UCCUGGCUCAGAGCGAACGUUAGCGGCGGGCCUAACACAUGCAAGUCGAACGCGAAAGGUCUUCGGGCUGAGUAGAGUGGCGCACGGGUGAGUAACACGUAGGUAAUCUACCCUUUGGCGGGGGAUAACGUUCCGAAAGGAGCGCUAAUACCGCAUAAGACCACGGAGUCUCCGGACGCUGUGGGAAAAGGUGGCCUCUUCUUGAAAGCUACCACCGAAGGAUGAGCCUGCGUCCCAUCAGCUAGUUGGUAAGGUAAUGGCUUACCAAGGCGAAGACGGGUAGCUGGUUUGAGAGAAUGAUCAGCCACACUGGCACUGGAACACGGGCCAGACUCCUACGGAAGGCAGCAGUGAGGAAUAUUGGGCAAUGGGCGAAAGCCUGACCCAGCCACGCCGCGUGAGUGAUGAAGGCCCUCGGGUCGUAAAGCUCUGUGGAGAGGGACGAAAACCCUGGUUUCAAAUAGGCUCCAGGCUUGACGGUACCUCUUUAGCAAGCACCGGCUAACUCUGUG
RNAcentral lists this ribosomal RNA (512 nucleotides) under uncultured bacterium. RNAcentral's name for it is "bacterial SSU rRNA". It matches the Rfam family "Bacterial small subunit ribosomal RNA", at positions 17 to 507 of the family's 1533-position model. The record is from RNAcentral.